GGUUGAUUCUGCCAGUAGUCAUAUGCUUGUUUCAAGGACUAAGCCAUGCAUGCCUCAGAAUCACUGCAUUUGCAGGAAUCUGCGCAUGGCUCAUUACAUCAGACGUAAUCUGCCGCAAUUAUUUUGCGGUUUCCGCAAUAUUGGAUACCUUGGCGAAACGCCAAGCUAAUACAUGAAUCUAACGGGUGUCCUCCGUUCAAUGUGGGGGAGGAGUUCGCUCCGAACCUGCUGCGAGGCACCCUGCGAAUGAAUGAAAUUAAAACCAAUGCCACGUCAGUGGCAGCAUCACUGAGAAGUGUUGACUCAAUUCAUUCCGUGCGAAAGCCGAAUUUUUCGGCGUCUUUUGACGAACAACUGCCCUAUCAGCCAGUGAUGGCCGUGUAGUGGACUGCCAUGGCGUUGACGGGAGCGGGGGAUUAGGGUUCGAUUCCGGAGAGGGAGCCUGAGAACCGGCUACCACUUCUACGGAGGGCAGCAGGCGCGCAAAUUGCCCAAUGCCAAAAAAUUGGUGAGGCAGCGAAAAGAAAUAGGCCUCCUUAACACUUUACUGUGUUUGGGAGAUUCCAAUGGGGGAUAUUUAAACCCAUCGAACAUCGAGUACCAAUUGGAGGACAAGUCUGGUGCCAGCACCCGCGGUAAUUCCAGCUCCAAGAGCGUAUAUUAAUGCUGUUGCUGUUAAAGGGUUCGUAGUUGAAUUGAGGAUGUUCGGGUUCAUGUUGGUGCAGUCCGCUUUAGCUUCGUGCAAAGUUGUGGCUCCCACGCCCUCAUCCGUGAACGCUCAGAAACAAAUACCACGGGAUUCUGCUUCCUACCAACAUCUCUCGCGUACAAUGCACGCCGUGUGGUGGGACGCCCGUGAUUUUUACUGUGACUAAAAAAGCGCGACCAAAGCAGUCAAGCGACAUGAAUUUUAAAGCAUGGGAUAACAACGAAGCAGCCUGCGGGUUACCGUUUCGGCUUUUGUUGGUUUUAAAGAUCUGUGGGAGAUUAUGGCAUGGUGUGACAAGCGGUUCGGAGCUCCUCGGAUGUCUCCUACGCCUUCCGGCUGUGUUCCUGUUCGCGCAGGACGCAGUUUAGGUUCACCUUUGCUAGGAAUGAAGGAGGGUUGUUCGGGGGAGAACGUACUUGUCCGUGAGAGGUGAAAUUCUUAGACCGGACAAAGACGAACUACAGCGAAGGCAUUCUCCAACGAUACCUUCCUCAAUCAAGAACCAAAGUGCGGAGAUCGAAGAUGAUUAGAGACCAUUGUAGUCCGCGCCACAAACGGUGACCCCCAUGAAUUGGGGAGUAUUUGGCUCGCUUGGGCCUGCCUUCCGGUAGGUUUCCAAGCGGUCAAUAAUUACUCAACUUACGUGCACAUUCUACGCGCCGGUCGUCAAAACCCGGCGUUCUACGGGAAUAUCCUCAGCACGUUCUCUGACUGUCUCACGCGAAAGCUUUGAGGUUAUAGUCUCAGGGGGG
This 1461-nucleotide ribosomal RNA is filed under the name metagenome. RNAcentral's name for it is "SSU rRNA". It matches the Rfam family "Eukaryotic small subunit ribosomal RNA", at positions 6 to 1121 of the family's 1831-position model. The record is from RNAcentral.